GUCAAAUGUAUUAUAGCGGUUAUGGGGUUCCUCGAGAUGCUCAGAAGGGAAGAAUUUGGAUGACAAAAGCAUCAAGAAGUCGAUCGUCGGUCUGGAAAGUUAGUGAUAAACAUCCAGGCUAUAAUGCUAGUGAUUCAGAUUCAGAUGAAUUGACUCGUGAUUCUUAACUGCACCAGUGUUGCUGAUUCCUCUAUGUCAUGUCAAAACAACCACUGGAUGUGGUUUUCACUGUGGAGAAUGUACUUGCUCAGCUAUCUUUGUAGCUCUUCGCAUACUUGCUUCCUGAUUGUUGGAUUUGACGGAUGUAAUAUGCUUUGAUUUUACCUUUACCCUACAAACAAUUUGUCGCACUUUCAUGUGGUCAAAU
Molecule: unclassified non-coding RNA, 367 nt
Filed under: Hevea brasiliensis (rubber tree)
Lineage: Eukaryota; Viridiplantae; Streptophyta; Magnoliopsida; Malpighiales; Euphorbiaceae
Source: RNAcentral